ACCCAUUGUUAUAUAGUCUGUACGUAGCUUAUCACUACAAACCAUCAAAGUCACCUUUCUGCCUAAUACUGGUUGCUCAUGGUAAGCAGGUUAGUACCUGGAUGGGAGACCACGCGGGAAAAUAGGUUGCUGUGGGAA
Molecule: ribosomal RNA, 138 nt
Filed under: Danio rerio (zebrafish)
Lineage: Eukaryota; Metazoa; Chordata; Actinopteri; Cypriniformes; Danionidae
Source: RNAcentral